RNAcentral lists this ribosomal RNA (484 nucleotides) under uncultured bacterium. RNAcentral's name for it is "partial 16S ribosomal RNA". It matches the Rfam family "Bacterial small subunit ribosomal RNA", at positions 28 to 523 of the family's 1533-position model. The record is from RNAcentral.
GACGAACGCUGGCGGCGUGCUUAACACAUGCAAGUCGAACGAUGAAGCCGGAGCUUGCUCUGGUGAAUUAGUGGCGAACGGGUGAGUAACACGUGAGUAACCUGCCCUUGACUCUGGGAUAACUGCGGGAAACUGUAGCUAAUACCGGAUACGACCCUCGGAGGCAUCUCCUGGGGGUGGAAAGAAUUUCGGUCAAGGAUGGACUCGCGGCCUAUCAGCUAGUUGGUGAGGUAAAGGCUCACCAAGGCGACGACGGGUAGCCGGCCUGAGAGGGUGACCGGCCACACGUGGACUGAGAUACGGCCCAGACUCCUACGGGAGGCAGCAGUGGGGAAUAUUGCACAAUGGGCGCAAGCCUGAUGCAGCAACGCCGCGUGAGGGGUGACGGCCUUCGGGUUGUAAACCUCUUUUAGUAGGGAAGAAGCGAAAGUGACGGUACCUGCAGAAAAAGCACCGGCUAACUACGUGCCAGCCGCCGCAGUAA